GAGAAGGGUCAUUCAUCCAGUGAUUUGCUCAGUCUUGACCCUAGGCCACACCCUGCCCUGAUUCAGCUGCGUGACCCAUGUGGACUCCUGCUCUCCGAAGAGGCCCAGGCUGGUGGGAGCAACGGUGGAGAAGGCAAAGCUGAGGAGUCCGAGGGUGCCCAGUGAAGGUUGGCAGUAACGUGUGUUAUGGUUUGGAGGUUUCACACAUCACUAAAUCCAAGGUGCUCGCCAGACACCUUCUUCUUGGUGCCACUAACAAAGAUCUCACCCAUAGAACGAUGCCACGAAAUUUCCUUACUGUUUAAAUUUUUAAUUUCCUAGUUACUGGAGAGCUCCUGGUCAACUUAUUUAGGAAACCCAGAUCCUCAGCACACAUCGGUUGGGGGUACAUGUAACACAACAGCCACGUCUCAUUCUUUGGAGUCACUUUGCCUCUGAGUCAUUGACUUCCACACUGCUCAGCCUCCUCACCUCAGAAGCCCAGAUGAUGCUACUCCAUUGUCACAUCCAGGCAGUGACAGCCACGUCACAAUGGCUUCCUGGCUGACAGUGAUGACAGCACCAUCAUCGGUUACACUUCCUGAUUUCAGAAUGGUUACGAUUAAAAAAGGAAAAAUAAAAAAGUGCAUCUUAGAAUCAAC
Molecule: long non-coding RNA, 641 nt
Filed under: Ictidomys tridecemlineatus (thirteen-lined ground squirrel)
Lineage: Eukaryota; Metazoa; Chordata; Mammalia; Rodentia; Sciuridae
Description: lncRNA (ENSSTOG00000033993.1)
Source: RNAcentral